This 460-nucleotide ribosomal RNA is filed under the name uncultured bacterium. RNAcentral describes it as "partial 16S ribosomal RNA". It matches the Rfam family "Bacterial small subunit ribosomal RNA", at positions 338 to 795 of the family's 1533-position model. The record is from RNAcentral.
CCUACGGGUGGCAGCAGUGAGGAAUAUUGGUCAAUGGCCGUAAGGCUGAACCAGCCAAGUAGCGUGAGGGAAGACUGCCCUAUGGGUUGUAAACCUCUUUUAUGCGGGGAUAAAGGUGUCCACGUGUGGAUGUUUGCAGGUACCGCAUGAAUAAGGACCGGCUAAUUCCGUGCCAGCAGCCGCGGUAAUACGGAAGGUCCGGGCGUUAUCCGGAUUUAUUGGGUUUAAAGGGUGCGUAGGCGGAUUGAUAAGUUAGAGGUGAAAUGUCCGAGCUUAACUCGGGAACUGCCUCUAAUACUGUUGAUCUAGAGAGUAGAUGCGGUAGGCGGAAUGUAUGGUGUAGCGGUGAAAUGCUUAGAUAUCACGAAGAACUCCGAUUGCGAAGGCAGCUUACUAAACUGCCACUGACAUUGAUGCUCGAAAGUGUGGGUAUCAAACAGGAUUAGAUACCCGGGUAGUC